Antechinus flavipes (yellow-footed antechinus) is the source of this 432-nucleotide non-coding RNA. Lineage: Eukaryota; Metazoa; Chordata; Mammalia; Dasyuromorphia; Dasyuridae. The record is from the annotation of a RefSeq genome assembly.
GCAGAGUAGCCACAGGGGAGGAGUCACUGCAAAAUGGAGUCUCUGUCCCAGCUUCUCUGUGGGUUCCUGAUGCUCUGGGUCCCAGUUUCCAGGGGAGCAAUUGUGCUGACCCAGUCUCCAGCUUCGGUAUCUGUGAGCCCAGGAGAGAGAGUCACCAUCAGCUGCAAGGCCAGUCAGAGUGUCUUAUAUACUGAUGGAAAGAAUUACCUACAGUGGUUCCAACAGAAAUCUGGACAGUCUCCUCAGCUACUCAUUUACGAGGUUUCCAAACUGCACUACAGAGUCCCCGCCCGCUUCAGUGGCAGUGGUGCUGGGAAAGAUUUCACCCUCACAAUCAGCAGUGUGGAGGCUGAAGAUGGGGCAGGCUAUUACUGUUUUCAAAGAUCUUUUAUUCCUCACACAGUGUUACAGCCCUGAACAAAAACCUCCCCU